CGCGUAGGCGGCCUGAUAAGUAGGGGGUGAAAUCCUGUGGCUCAACUGCAGGGCUGCCUCCUAGACUGUCGGGCUCGAGCACGGUAGAGGCAGAUGGAAUUCCCGGUGUAGCGGUGGAAUGCGUAGAGAUCGGGAAGAACAUCGGUGGCGAAGGCGGUCUGCUGGGCCGUUGCUGACGCUGAGGCGCGACAGCGUGGGGAGCAAACA
This 207-nucleotide ribosomal RNA is filed under the name uncultured bacterium. Its description in RNAcentral is "partial 16S ribosomal RNA". It matches the Rfam family "Bacterial small subunit ribosomal RNA", at positions 568 to 774 of the family's 1533-position model. The record is from RNAcentral.